CUCGUAGUCNGAUGUCGGGCUCGGGCAGGCUGUCGGCUUCGGUCGGACGGCAGGCUCGGGUCUUUCUGCAUGAGGAUCCCGUUGCACUUAAUUGUGGGGCGUGGGGACACAUGCCGUUUACUUUGAAAAAAUUAGAGUGUUCAAAGCAGGCCUACGCUUGAAUACAUUAGCAUGGAAUAAUGGAAUAGGACUUUGGUCUUAUUUGUUGGUUAUGGGACCGAAGUAAUGAUUAACAGGGACAGUUGGGGCCGUUUAUAUUUCGUUGUCAGAGGUGAAAUUCUUGGAUUUACUAAAGAUAAACUUGUGCGAAAGCAUUCGGCAAGGAUGUUUUCAUUGAUCAAGAACGAAAGUUAGGGGAUCGAAGACCAUCAAAUACCGNCGUAGUCUUAACCAUAAACUAUGCCGACUAGGGAUCAGUGGAUGUCAAUUUGCGACUCCAUUGGCACCUUGUGAGAAAUCAAAGUUUUUGGGUUCCGGGGGGAGUAUGGUCGCAAGGCUGAAACUUAAAGGAAUUGACGGAAGGGCACCACCAGGAGUGGAGCCUGCGGCUUAAUUUGACUCANCACGGGGAAACUUACCAUGUCCAGACAUAGGAAGGAUUGACAGAUUGAAAGCUCUUUCUUGAUUCUGUGGGUGGUCGUGCAUGGCCGUUCUUAGUUGGUGGAGUGAUUUGUCUGGUUAAUUCCGUUCACGAACGAGAUCUCAGCCUGCUAACUAGUAACGUCAAUAUGAUUGGCGGCUACUUCUUAGAGGGACUAUUUGUGUUUAAUGAAUGGAAGUNUGAGGCAAUAACAGGUCUGUGAUGCCCUUAGAUGUUCUGA
RNAcentral lists this ribosomal RNA (821 nucleotides) under uncultured Cryptophyta. RNAcentral's name for it is "SSU rRNA". It matches the Rfam family "Eukaryotic small subunit ribosomal RNA", at positions 627 to 1485 of the family's 1831-position model. The record is from RNAcentral. Lineage: Eukaryota; Cryptophyceae.